GAUUGAACGCUGGCGGAAUGCUUUACACAUGCAAGUCGAACGGCAGCACGGGUGCAACCCUGGUGGCGUGGGGCGAACGGGUGAGUAAUACAUCGGAACGUGCCCGGUCGCGGGGGAUAACGUAUCGCAAGUUACGCUAAUACCGCAUACGAUCUGAGGAUGAACGCGGGGGACCUUCGGCCGUCGCGCGAUCGGAGCCGGCGAUGUCUGAUUAGGUGGUUGGUGGGGUAAAGGCCUACUAGGCCGACGAUCAGUAGCGGGUCUGAGAGGAGGACCAGCCACACUGGGACUGAGACACGGCCCAGAAUCCUACGGGAGGCAGCAGUGGGGAAGUUUGGACAAUGGGCGCCAGCAUGAUCCAGCCAUUCCGCGUGCAGGACGAAGGCGUUCGGGUUGUAAACUGCUUUUGUCUGGAACGAAAAGGGUCUGGCUAAUACCUGGGGGUCAUGACGGUACCGUAAGAAUAAGCACCGGCUAACUACGUG
Molecule: ribosomal RNA, 485 nt
Filed under: uncultured bacterium
Lineage: Bacteria
Description: partial 16S ribosomal RNA
Rfam family: Bacterial small subunit ribosomal RNA
Source: RNAcentral